UACGUAGGUGGCAAGCGUUGUCCGGAAUUACUGGGCGUAAAGAGCGCGCAGGCGGUCGUUCAAGUCGAGUGUGAAAGCCCCCGGCUCAACUGGGGAGGGUCACUCGAUACUGAUCGACUUGAAGGCAGGAGAGGGAAGCGGAAUUCCCGGUGUAGUGGUGAAAUGCGUAGAUAUCGGGAGGAACACCAGUGGCGAAGGCGGCUUCCUGGCCUGUUCUUGACGCUGAGGCGCGAAAGCUAGGGGAGCAAACGGG
RNAcentral lists this ribosomal RNA (253 nucleotides) under uncultured bacterium. RNAcentral's name for it is "partial 16S ribosomal RNA". It matches the Rfam family "Bacterial small subunit ribosomal RNA", at positions 524 to 776 of the family's 1533-position model. The record is from RNAcentral.